AGUGAACGCUGGCGGUAGGCCUAACACAUGCAAGUCGAACGGCAGCACAGUAAGAGCUUGCUCUUACGGGUGGCGAGUGGCGGACGGGUGAGGAAUACAUCGGAAUCUACUUUUUCGUGGGGGAUAACGUAGGGACACUUACGCUAAUACCGCAUACGACCUACGGGUGAAAGCAAGGGAUCUUCGGACCUUUCGCGAUUGAAUGAGCCGAUGUCGGAUUAGCUAGUUGGCGGGGUAAAGGCCCACCAAGGCGACGAUCCGUAGCUGGUCUGAGAGGAUGAUCAGCCACACUGGAACUGAGACACGGUCCAGACUCCUACGGGAGGCAGCAGUGGGGAAUAUUGGACAAUGGGCGCAAGCCUGAUCCAGCCAUACCGCGUGGGUGAAGAAGGCCUUCGGGUUGUAAAGCCCUUUUGUUGGGAAAGAAAAGCAGCAGGUUAAUACCCCGCUGUUCUGACGGUACCCAAAGAAUAAGCACCGGCUAACUUCGUG
This 492-nucleotide ribosomal RNA is filed under the name uncultured bacterium. RNAcentral's name for it is "partial 16S ribosomal RNA". It matches the Rfam family "Bacterial small subunit ribosomal RNA", at positions 29 to 507 of the family's 1533-position model. The record is from RNAcentral.